Molecule: long non-coding RNA, 115 nt
Filed under: Phascolarctos cinereus (koala)
Lineage: Eukaryota; Metazoa; Chordata; Mammalia; Diprotodontia; Phascolarctidae
Description: lncRNA (ENSPCIG00000030741.1)
Source: RNAcentral
CUUGGUUGACUUGUCUAUGCCAUAACAACCUUUAAACUCCAGCUUAUCAGCUUGACAUUCACAGAGUAUAUUGCCCGGGAGCUGAUUACAACAGCACACUGAGAAGGAAGAUGGC